This 319-nucleotide ribosomal RNA is filed under the name uncultured archaeon. RNAcentral's name for it is "bacterial SSU rRNA". It matches the Rfam family "Archaeal small subunit ribosomal RNA", at positions 1 to 324 of the family's 1478-position model. The record is from RNAcentral.
UUCCGGUUGAUCCUGCCAGAGGUUACUGCUAUCGAGGUUCGACUAAGCCAUGCGAGUCGAAUGUAGCAAUACAUGGCGUACUGCUCAGUAACACGUGGACAACCUACCCUGAGGACGGGGAUAAACCCGGGAAACUGGGUAUAAUACCCGAUAGUUCUAGGUAGCUGGAAUGCCCCUAGACCCAAAGCUCCGGCGCCUCAGGAUGGGUCUGCGGCCUAUCAGGGUAGUAGUAGGUGUAACGUACCUACUAGCCUACGACGGGUACGGGUUGUGAGAGCAAGAGCCCGGAGAUGGAUUCUGAGACACGAAUCCAGGCCCU